UGUGUCACCGGGCGGGGAGCGAACCCAUUGUUUUGGACGCGCCACCGUCACGCUAUGCACUCAGCCACCGCUACCCAAAUGGCGUUGCGUGUUGGUUCAAAACGGAGCGCAGCGUUAAGAUACGGAACGAUUCUGUCUUUUAAUGUAUCGGAUUCUAAUGAGUGAUUCUUUAGGUUCACGGUACAGAGGAAGGGUCACACUACCACCAGGGUCAUAAAACUACUUCUAGAAAUGCCCACAACUCCUAGGAAAGCCUUGGCAAAUGUGUGUUUCCUUAGGUUCACGGUACAGAGGAAGGGUCACACUACCACCAGGGUCACAAAACUACCCCUGGAAAUGCCCACAACUCCUAGGAAAGCCUUGGCAAAUGUGUGUUUCCUUAGGUUCACGGUACAGAGGAAGGGUCACACUACCACCAGGGUCAUAAAACUACCCCUGGAAAUGCCCACAACUCCUAGGAAAGCCUUGGCAAAUGUGUGUUUCCUUAGGUUCACGGUACAGAGGAAGGGUCACACUACCACCAGGGUCAUUAAACUACCCCUGGAAAUGCCCACAACUCCUAGGAAAGCCUUGUCAAAUGUGUGUUUCCUUAGGUUCACGGUACAGAGGAAGGGUCACACUACCACCAGGGUCACAAAACUACCCCUGGAAAUGCCCACAACUCUUAGGAAAGCCUUGGCAAAUGUGUGUUUCCUUAGGUUCACGGUACAGAGGAAGGGUCACACUACCACCAGGGUCACAAAACUACCCCUGGAAAUGCCCACAACUCCUAGGAAAGCCUUGGCAAAUGUGUGUUUCCUUAGGUUCACGGUACAGAGGAAGGGUCACACUACCACCAGGGUCACAAAACUACCCUCUCAUUUCACUCCCUCGUACGACCCCGUGUUUUAAUUAAGGGACGGGUGGUCGUCCUAUUUAAGCCCCGUUAAAACUGUGCCGGUCAGAUGGAAGGAAAUAUUUAGAAGAUUAUAUUUCGUUGUUUUUUACGAAAAUUUUGGAAUU
Molecule: long non-coding RNA, 1002 nt
Organism: Eriocheir sinensis (Chinese mitten crab)
Lineage: Eukaryota; Metazoa; Arthropoda; Malacostraca; Decapoda; Varunidae
Exons: 3
Source: RefSeq, a predicted model, not a curated record